UACGUAGGGUGCAAGCGUUAAUCGGAAUUACUGGGCGUAAAGCGUGCGCAGGCGGUUAUGUAAGGCAGUUGUGAAAUCCCCGGGCUCAACCUGGGAACUGCAUCUGUGACUGCAUAGCUAGAGUACGGUAGAGGGGGAUGGAAUUCCGCGUGUAGCAGUGAGAUGCGUAGAUAUGCGGAGGAACACCGAUGGCGAAGGCAAUCCCCUGGACCUGUACUGACGCUCAUGCACGAAAGCGUGGGGAGCAAACAGG
Molecule: ribosomal RNA, 253 nt
Filed under: uncultured bacterium
Lineage: Bacteria
Description: partial 16S ribosomal RNA
Rfam family: Bacterial small subunit ribosomal RNA
Source: RNAcentral